This 463-nucleotide ribosomal RNA is filed under the name uncultured bacterium. RNAcentral describes it as "partial 16S rRNA". It matches the Rfam family "Bacterial small subunit ribosomal RNA", at positions 29 to 501 of the family's 1533-position model. The record is from RNAcentral.
AACGAACGCUGGCGGCACGCCUAACACAUGCAAGUCGAGCGCACUUAUGAUCUUCGGAUUAUAGGCGAGCGGCGGACGGGUUAGUAACGCGUGGGAACGUACCCUUUACUACGGAAUAGCCUUUGGAAACGAAGAGUAAUACCGUAUACGCCCUUCGGGGGAAAGAUUUAUCGGUAAAGGAUCGGCCCGCGUAAGAUUAGAUAGUUGGUGGGGUAAUGGCUCACCAAGGCGACGAUCUUUAGCUGGUCUGAGAGGAUGAUCAGCCACACUGGGACUGAGACACGGCCCAGACUCCUACGGGAGGCAGCAGUGGGGAAUAUUGCACAAUGGGCGCAAGCCUGAUGCAGCCAUGCCGCGUGUGUGAAGAAGGCUCUAGGGUUGUAAAGCACUUUCAGUGGGGAGGAAAAGUUGGUAGUUAAUAGUUGCCAACCGUGACGUUACCCACAGAAGAAGGACCGCUAAC